Molecule: ribosomal RNA, 253 nt
Filed under: uncultured bacterium
Lineage: Bacteria
Description: partial 16S ribosomal RNA
Rfam family: Bacterial small subunit ribosomal RNA
Source: RNAcentral
UACGGGGGGGGCAAGCGUUGUUCGGAAUUACUGGGCGUAAAGGGCUCGUAGGCGGCCAACUAAGUCCGACGUGAAAUCCCCAGGCUUAACCUGGGAACUGCGUCGGAUACUGGAUGGCUUGAAUUCGGGAGAGGGAUGCAGAAUUCCAGGUGUAGCGGUGAAAUGCGUAGAUAUCAGGAGGAACACCGGUGGCGAAGGCGGCUACCUGGACAGAAACUGACGCUGAGGCGCGAAAGCUAGGGGAGCAAACAGG